Molecule: long non-coding RNA, 841 nt
Organism: Daktulosphaira vitifoliae (grape phylloxera)
Lineage: Eukaryota; Metazoa; Arthropoda; Insecta; Hemiptera; Phylloxeridae
Exons: 3
Source: RefSeq, a predicted model, not a curated record
UGUCAAAAAUUAUUAUUUUAAGAAUUACCAACUAUUAUAUUAUAAUUAGACAUAAUUCGUUUUGUAUGGUUUCACUGGAGACGCAUCCUGUUGAUUCGUGUGUGUGUUAAUAUUCUUUUUGUCAGCCGUUUAAUGUUAAAUAUGGCCGUUGAAUUUAUUUGCAGCAUUCGCAUGUGUAAUUAUAAUAAUUUUUUUAAAUUACUGUGUGUUAGAAAUAACAAUAUUAAAUCUAUCAGAUGUACAGUUUUGUCGUUGGCCUCCCUUUAAGGUUACAAGCGUUGAACUUUUUAAAUCUGAUGGUCCUGGGGAAAAAAUAUUAUAAAAAUAUUGAAUAAUAAAAUAUAUGCAAAUUUUAAAAAACCAUGGCAUCAGCAUGUUAAAAUUGAAAUCUCUGCUACAGAAAAUGAGUGUGAUGCACCAAAAAGAAAAAAAAAGCCAAAGAAGUUCAUCUGUUGGUAGUGAUUUUGAAGAUUGUAGCUUAUCAAUAACACCGAUCAAGAAACAUGUAUCAAGAAAUUUUACUGAAUUAUUGACAAGGAAAUCUGAAGAUUUAGAAUAUGAACUGCAAUUUAGUACAUUACAUGCUAUAGAAAUCGUAGCUAGUUCAUCAGCAUCAUGCAUAGUAAUUUAGAUUAUGAACUACCACCUGUAUCAUCAUCUGCUGUACAAAUCACUGCUAGUUCCUCAGCCUCAUGCAUAUCUGAUAAUGUUAUAAAUAAGGUAAUAUAAUAGCCAUUUUAUCUAAUUUAAGUACUGAAAUAAUUCAAUUUUAAUUUGAAAACUCAAAUAUUAUGUUAUAAUAUAAUAUAUUAUAUCUAUUAUCAGUGUUAUAUCCAAUAUC